Octopus sinensis (East Asian common octopus) is the source of this 978-nucleotide RNA transcript. RefSeq lists it as uncharacterized. The record is from RefSeq and is a predicted model, not a curated record. The transcript has 4 exons. NCBI's taxonomy places the organism in Eukaryota, Metazoa, Mollusca, Cephalopoda, Octopoda, Octopodidae.
CAGGUUCAAGAUCUGAAGCUCAUUUCUCAACACUUCCUUCCAUUUUUCUUGAGGUUCUCUCCACAUUUACAGAUCGGUGCUCUUUAUACAGCUGAUCUUAUUCAUACAUAUCACAGGGUCAUACUAGCACAGUCGUCUGUCUUGCGUACUACAUACAUGUGAUAACUCUCGAUUUUUAUCUUAAAACAUGUCAGCAUUUUAUACCUGCACACUGACAGUGACCAUCCAGUGGAGCAUGCUGGUUCCAUUUUGUUCAAGACUUUACACGUCCUCUGUGUUCACAACAUACAUUUCACUACUAUGUAGCGUACACAGCUGUUCAUACACAGGCUGCCCAUUGGUGAUCAGAAACUCUCACAAUAAUAAAAUAUAUAUCAUUAAUAUCUAGAUUUAAAAUAUUUUAUAAUAAAUUUUAAAAACCUUGAAAUAUUUAUUUCAGGGUUUCCCAAGUCUCAGAACAAGCAAGUCCAGACAGAGGCAUUUACUUCAAAAGAUGCAUCACAGCAAGUUGAGACGCCAGCACUUGUUGACAAUGAAGUUCAAACAGAAGUAGAACCAGUUGUUACUUUAACGCUUGUUGACAAUAAAGUCCAAACAGAGGUGGAGCCAGUUGAUGAUCACUACAUGCAGAUACCACGUUUUGACUGUAAAAGUAUUAUGAAGUCGCAUUCAUCCAAAUUCCGUCCCCUUUGCCCAGCUGUGUCCAAAAUAUUGCAGCUCACAGACUCCGAUAAUGAUUCCAAGAACCUGGUCACAGUUUCAAGAAUCGUUGAAAUCUGCAAUGGAAUAGUAACCUAUUCACCAGAUUUGAAGUUAAUAAGUUGUGCCACAACAGGCGGUGAUUUUGAUUUCAUUGUUCUUCUAAUGUCACAGACAUGACAAGAAUUGGUGAACACACUGUUCUAGCCACAAUUCCUUUCCGCAAGAAAAUAGUUUUCAUUAAUCCAUCAAGUUUCCACAUAAAAUCUCUGGAUUAUA